UGAACGCUGGCGGCGUGCCUAAUACAUGCAAGUCGAGCGAACAGACGAGGAGCUUGCUCCUCUGACGUUAGCGGCGGACGGGUGAGUAACACGUGGAUAACCUACCUAUAAGACUGGGAUAACUUCGGGAAACCGGAGCUAAUACCGGAUAAUAUAUUGAACCGCAUGGUUCAAUAGUGAAAGACGGUUUUGCUGUCACUUUUAGAUGGAUCCGCGCCGCAUUAGCUAGUUGGUAAGGUAACGGCUUACCAAGGCAACGAUGCGUAGCCGACCUGAGAGGGUGAUCGGCCACACUGGAACUGAGACACGGUCCAGACUCCUACGGGAGGCAGCAGUAGGGAAUCUUCCGCAAUGGGCGAAAGCCUGACGGAGCAACGCCGCGUGAGUGAUGAAGUUCUUCGGAUCGUAAAACUCUGUUAUUAGGGAAGAACAAAUGUGUAAGUAACUAUGCACGUCUUGACGGUACCUAAUCAGAAAGCCACGGCUAACUACGUG
This 495-nucleotide ribosomal RNA is filed under the name uncultured bacterium. RNAcentral describes it as "partial 16S ribosomal RNA". It matches the Rfam family "Bacterial small subunit ribosomal RNA", at positions 30 to 507 of the family's 1533-position model. The record is from RNAcentral.